This 274-nucleotide ribosomal RNA is filed under the name uncultured bacterium. Its description in RNAcentral is "partial 16S ribosomal RNA". It matches the Rfam family "Bacterial small subunit ribosomal RNA", at positions 523 to 796 of the family's 1533-position model. The record is from RNAcentral.
AUACGGAGGGUGCGAGCGUUAAUCGGAAUUACUGGGCGUAAAGCGCGCGUAGGCGGAUAAUUAAGUCAGAUGUGAAAUCCCCGGGCUCAACCUGAGAACUGCAUUUGAUACUGAUUAACUAGAGUAUGGUAGAGGUGAGUGGAAUUUCCGGUGUAGCGGUGAAAUGCGUAGAGAUCGGAAGGAACACCAGUGGCGAAGGCGACUCACUGGGCCAUUACUGACGCUGAGGUGCGAAAGCGUGGGUAGCAAACAGGAUUAGAAACCCUAGUAGUCC